RNAcentral lists this transfer RNA (74 nucleotides) under Barrientosiimonas humi. Its description in RNAcentral is "Dermacoccaceae bacterium 39 tRNA". It matches the Rfam family "tRNA". From Rfam's summary of the family: Transfer RNA (tRNA) molecules are approximately 80 nucleotides in length. Their secondary structure includes four short double-helical elements and three loops (D, anti-codon, and T loops). Lineage: Bacteria; Bacillati; Actinomycetota; Actinomycetes; Micrococcales; Dermacoccaceae. RNAcentral also lists the same sequence under 1 other name. The record is from Rfam by way of RNAcentral.
GGGCCUCUAGCUCAAUCGGUUAGAGCUGCGGACUUUUAAUCCGUAGGUUGUGGGUUCGAGUCCCACGGGGCCCA